Molecule: non-coding RNA, 112 nt
Organism: Acanthosepion pharaonis
Lineage: Eukaryota; Metazoa; Mollusca; Cephalopoda; Sepiida; Sepiidae
Source: the annotation of a GenBank genome assembly
UACAGUCACAUCAGGUUGAAACAGCGGUGUCCGUACGAUCAUCGAAGUUAAGCAACGCCGGGCCUGUUCUGCACCUAGAUGUGUGACCGCUUGUGAAUACCAGGUGUAGUAA